Parelaphostrongylus tenuis is the source of this 75-nucleotide non-coding RNA. Lineage: Eukaryota; Metazoa; Nematoda; Chromadorea; Rhabditida; Metastrongylidae. The record is from the annotation of a GenBank genome assembly.
GCGUUAGUAGUGCAACGGGUCAGAACACGAGCUCUUGGAUAGAGUGAGGUGCGGGUUCGUGUCCCUCCUGAUGCA